GGAGGAUGUGACCUUCAGGAAUGGGUGCUUAAGAAUUUCAUAUGUGCUUGAGAAUUUUUAACUUCUAAAAUUGACAUGACUUGAACCUUUCCCUUUCAGCUGAAAACACCUUCUUUCCGAUGUUUUGCUUCUUUCCCGAGAGUUAAUCUAGAUCUUCUUGGAGGUAAAACACCUUUCCCAAAGGGACCCGUUGAGUCUGAGAGCAGCCGUGUACGAGGGAGCAGCUUGGCCACAGGGUGGAGCGUUCGGAUCUCUGCAGGGAAAAUCCAGAAGCUGCCUGCCUGCCAGGAUCCUCCAGCAGAGAGGGGUGUUGCAAGUCCUUUGAGUACUCCCGAGAGCGCUGAUCCUUACGGCUCAUCCUGGGCAAUGCUCGACUUGGACCACACAGAAGGGAAAGGCUAAGGACCAGCAGCAGAUGCAGGAACUUUACUUAAUAAAUUGCUAAUAUAUCCUCA
This 455-nucleotide long non-coding RNA is filed under the name Chloebia gouldiae (Gouldian finch). RNAcentral's name for it is "Erythrura gouldiae (Gouldian finch) lncRNA (ENSEGOG00005003661.1)". The record is from RNAcentral. Lineage: Eukaryota; Metazoa; Chordata; Aves; Passeriformes; Passeridae.